This 805-nucleotide ribosomal RNA is filed under the name Halobacterium salinarum. RNAcentral describes it as "bacterial SSU rRNA". It matches the Rfam family "Archaeal small subunit ribosomal RNA", at positions 57 to 862 of the family's 1478-position model. Lineage: Archaea; Methanobacteriati; Methanobacteriota; Halobacteria; Halobacteriales; Halobacteriaceae. The record is from RNAcentral.
GUUGUGCGGGUUUAGACCCGCAGCGGAAAGCUCAGUAACACGUGGCCAAGCUACCCUGUGGACGGGAAUACUCUCGGGAAACUGAGGCUAAUCCCCGAUAACGCUUUGCUCCUGGAAGGGGCAAAGCCGGAAACGCUCCGGCGCCACAGGAUGCGGCUGCGGUCGAUUAGGUAGACGGUGGGGUAACGGCCCACCGUGCCCAUAAUCGGUACGGGUUGUGAGAGCAAGAGCCCGGAGACGGAAUCUGAGACAAGAUUCCGGGCCCUACGGGGCGCAGCAGGCGCGAAACCUUUACACUGUACGAAAGUGCGAUAAGGGGACUCCGAGUGUGAAGGCAUAGAGCCUUCACUUUUGUACACCGUAAGGUGGUGCACGAAUAAGGACUGGGCAAGACCGGUGCCAGCCGCCGCGGUAAUACCGGCAGUCCGAGUGAUGGCCGAUCUUAUUGGGCCUAAAGCGUCCGUAGCUGGCUGAACAAGUCCGUUGGGAAAUCUGUCCGCUUAACGGGCAGGCGUCCAGCGGAAACUGUUCAGCUUGGGACCGGAAGACCUGAGGGGUACGUCUGGGGUAGGAGUGAAAUCCUGUAAUCCUGGACGGACCGCCGGUGGCGAAAGCGCCUCAGGAGAACGGAUCCGACAGUGAGGGACGAAAGCUAGGGUCUCGAACCGGAUUAGAUACCCGGGUAGUCCUAGCUGUAAACGAUGUCCGCUAGGUGGUGGCGCAGGCUACGAGCCUGCGCUGUGCCGUAGGGAAGCCGAGAAGCGGACCGCCUGGGAAGUACGUCUGCAAGGAUGAAACUUAAAGG